RNAcentral lists this ribosomal RNA (443 nucleotides) under uncultured bacterium. RNAcentral's name for it is "partial 16S ribosomal RNA". It matches the Rfam family "Bacterial small subunit ribosomal RNA", at positions 338 to 795 of the family's 1533-position model. The record is from RNAcentral.
CCUACGGGUGGCAGCAGUGGGGAAUAUUGGGCAAUGGGCGCAAGCCUGACCCAGCAACGCCGCGUGAAGGAAGAAGGCUCUCGGGUUGUAAACUUCUUUUAUCAGGGACGAAGCAAGUGACGGUACCUGAUGAAUAAGCCACGGCUAACUACGUGCCAGCAGCCGCUGUAAUACGGAGGUGGCAAGCGUUAUCCGGAUUUACUGGGUGUAAAGGGCGUGUAGGCGGGAAAGCAAGUCAGAUGUGAAAACCAGGGGCUCAACCUGUGGCCUGCAUUUGAAACUGUCUUUCUUGAGUACUGGAGAGGCAGACGGAAUUCGUAGUGUAGCGGUGAAAUGCGUAGAUAUUAGGAGGAACACCAGUGGCGAAGGCGGUUUGCUGAACAGCAACUGACGCUGAGGCGCGAAAGCGUGGGGAGCAAACAGGAUUAGAUACCCGUGUAGUC